AAACCGGCAGUGGCAAAACCGUAAAUAUCCGGUCCCUUAAGUGAAACUCUGCGUUUCACUUAAGGAGGUGUCAUGUUCUUACUGGUGCAUGGCAAUAAAACAGUGGCUACAUGCAAAAAUGAAAAUCCACACAGCCAAACGCGACCUGGUUUUUUAAAAUUAGGGUUUAUAGCUACAGUACCAUGUUCAUCAUUUCCAGAUUUUCAGCAAGAACGAAAUGCAACAAAAAUCAAAAAUCGAC
Molecule: long non-coding RNA, 241 nt
Filed under: Lathyrus oleraceus (garden pea)
Lineage: Eukaryota; Viridiplantae; Streptophyta; Magnoliopsida; Fabales; Fabaceae
Description: Pisum sativum (pea) long non-coding RNA (PSAT_LNC006074)
Source: RNAcentral